AGUGAACGCUGGCGGUAGGCCUAACACAUGCAAGUCGAACGGCAGCACAGUAAGAGCUUGCUCUUACGGGUGGCGAGUGGCGGACGGGUGAGGAAUACAUCGGAAUCUACUUUUUCGUGGGGGAUAACGUAGGGAAACUUACGCUAAUACAGCAUACGACCUACGGGUGAAAGCAGGGGAUCUUCGGACCUUGCGCGAUUGAAUGAGCCGAUGUCGGAUUAGCUAGUUGGCGGGGUAAAGGCCCACCAAGGCGACGUUCCGUAGCUGGUCUGAGCGGAUGAUCAGCCACACUGGAACUGAGACACGCUCAAGACGCCUACGGGAGGCAGCAGUGGGGAAUAUUGGACAAUGGGCGCAAGCCUGAUCCAGCCAUACCGCGUGGGUGAAGAAGGCCUUCGGGUUGUAAAGACCUUUUGUUGGGAAAGAAAAGCAGCAGGUUAAUACCCCGCGGUUCUGACGGUACCCAAAGAAUAAGCACCGGCUAACUUCGUG
RNAcentral lists this ribosomal RNA (492 nucleotides) under uncultured bacterium. RNAcentral describes it as "partial 16S ribosomal RNA". It matches the Rfam family "Bacterial small subunit ribosomal RNA", at positions 29 to 507 of the family's 1533-position model. The record is from RNAcentral.